RNAcentral lists this unclassified non-coding RNA (405 nucleotides) under Acritopappus longifolius. RNAcentral describes it as "partial contains external transcribed spacer and 18S ribosomal RNA". Lineage: Eukaryota; Viridiplantae; Streptophyta; Magnoliopsida; Asterales; Asteraceae. The record is from RNAcentral.
UUGGCUUGUUACUGGUGGUUGGCUGUGCACAACUUCCACCUGACAUGUCUAUUCGUUCGUCCGUUAAGGCUUUGAUUGCCUGAACAAACUGUGGGUUUCCUGUGUUGCUUGCCUAACAAACGGUAUUGAUUUGGCUUAUCGAAGUUCUGUUCGCCUUUUGUCAUGCGUAUGACAUUAGAUGAACCCUAAACAUGUCUCUUUGAACCACAUCAUUAAUGCUUGUGCAGAUGUAGUGGCGCAUUGAGCCUUGCUCGGUCUCUUUGAUGUAGUGCUUGAUGUGGGCUUGGGUCUGUUGUGAUCCUUGUUAUGUCCCUAUUUAGUGUUUACGCUCCUUAAAAUGACUGCUUGACACGCGUUGUCWCGUAAAAGCGUGUUGGGCUUUGUCKAAAAGGAUUGUUACCUGGU